Molecule: small nuclear RNA, 203 nt
Filed under: Sus scrofa (pig)
Lineage: Eukaryota; Metazoa; Chordata; Mammalia; Artiodactyla; Suidae
Description: U2 spliceosomal RNA (multiple genes)
Rfam family: U2 spliceosomal RNA
About the family: U2 is a small nuclear RNA (snRNA) component of the spliceosome (involved in pre-mRNA splicing). Complementary binding between U2 snRNA (in an area lying towards the 5' end but 3' to hairpin I) and the branchpoint sequence (BPS) of the intron results the bulging out of an unpaired adenosine, on the BPS, which initiates a nucleophilic attack at the intronic 5' splice site, thus starting the first of two transesterification reactions that mediate splicing.
Source: Rfam by way of RNAcentral
ACCACAUGCCAUGGCCAAAAAAAAAAAAAAAAAAAAAGUGUAGCAUAGCAUCUGUUCUUAUCAGUUUAAUAUCUGAUACAACCUCUAUGAAAGGACAAUAGAUAAAAUGGAUUUUUGGAGCCGGGAGUAGCAAUAGGAGCCUGCUCUGUCCACUCCACAUAUUGACCUACUGUUGCAGCACCUCCAGGAUUGGCACACCCCCU